This is a long non-coding RNA of Pseudophryne corroboree (corroboree frog), 703 nucleotides long. RefSeq lists it as uncharacterized. The transcript is spliced from 3 exons. The record is from RefSeq and is a predicted model, not a curated record. NCBI's taxonomy places the organism in Eukaryota, Metazoa, Chordata, Amphibia, Anura, Myobatrachidae.
ACUAGGAUACGGGGGCGCUUCUCAGGGAGCAUAGAGAUAACAGCCCAAUAUAGACAAGCACAAAGCAAGACUGCAGCGGCUACCGCCAUCUAGUGUAUACGUGGCUAACUGUAAGGCGGCAAACCCUGCUGCUCCCUGCAUCAAGCAAUCAGUGCCGUGACUAGAAGAGAGUUUUUUGGAAACAGAGGGAAUGUUCACACGCUGGAGUUCCUAAAUAUACUAGAGAGGAAGCUGCAUUUAUCGGUGGCUGAGAACUAUACAGUACAUGGCAGACUGAGCUGCUGAGGAGGAGAAAGAAGAUGUAGAUAAGGUGGCCUGGAUUCCCCAUUGCACCAGGACUCAAAAGUUAUGCAUUGCCAUUUGGGGAGCAAAAGUUAAUGGUGACCCCAUUACCUGUAGCCAGGAGCACCCAAGUGAAUUAGUCCACCUGGGGUAUUCUAUUUGCUACCUUGAAGAGCAGCUAAAGAUGAACAGUCUUGUUCAAAAGUGGACAUCUAAAAUUAUACAGGCAUCAUUUUGUGAAGUAAAAUUUGAUACAGAGAGUUUGAUAUAAUUGAGUGACUUUGAGAGCAUCACUACUAAGACUAAACUUCGCAAAAUAUAGACCAUAUUCAAAUCCCCAGACAUAAGGUUCUAAUAUUGAUGCAGGUAUUUAGUUGAGUACUGUUCCUUCUAUUAUAUACAGUAUUGCAUUACCUGAGAG